This 1856-nucleotide long non-coding RNA is filed under the name Sus scrofa (pig). Its description in RNAcentral is "lncRNA (ENSSSCG00045008007.1, ENSSSCG00055026172.1, ENSSSCG00065068470.1)". Lineage: Eukaryota; Metazoa; Chordata; Mammalia; Artiodactyla; Suidae. The record is from RNAcentral.
UUUUUUUUUCUUUUUUGGCUACCCCGUGGCAUGUGGAGUUCCUAGGCUGGGAUCAGAUCUAAGCUGCAGUAGCAACCCAUGCCACAACUGUGACAACGCCAUAUCUUGCCAGCCGGGGAUCCAACAUGUGUCCUAGUGCUACUACACAGAUGCCACCAAUCCUGUUGUGCCGUGGCAGGAACUCCAUAAAUUUAAUUUUCAAUAUAGAAGUAAAUAUUUGUGUUCACGGUAGUAGGAAGACAGCAAAACUAAGAAUCAGAAGAUAUGGAAGCAUGUCUGGUAUGAGCUUCUGCCAUAAGCCACUCUAUGUCCUUGGGAAAGUCACCCAAUCUAUGUGGGCUUUAGUUUCCUCAUAUGUAAAAUUAGGAUGCUGGACCGGUCAUUGUUAAAUGUUCUUUCCGACUUCACAUUUUUUGGGGUAAUAGUUAUAAUGCCCAAUGCUAUAAAAUCUGAAAAUUUAAAAAGUAUGCAGCAAUAGGAGUUCCUGUUGUGGCUCAGUAGUUAAUGAAUCCCAAAUAGGAACCAUGAGGUUGUGGGUUCGAUCCCUGGCCUCGCUCAUGGGUUGAUGAUCCAGCGUUGCCGCGAGCUGUGGUGUAGGUCGCAGACGCGGCUCAGAUCCCGUGUUGCUCUGGCUCUGGCAUAGGCUGGCAGCUAUAGCUCCGAUUUGACCCCUAGCCUGGGAACCUCCAUAUGCUGUGGGAGCAGCCCAAGAAAUGGCAAAAAGGCAAAAAGGCAAAAAAAAGAAAAUGAUAAAAUAGACCACCCUUGGGUUAUUGUGAAUUAUUUUCCCAGGAGUGAUGAUGAGCAGAUCCUGAUCCUUCUACUGGCUCCACACCUCUUUCUACCAGCAGCAUCUACUUGUAAGAUGUCUGCCCCUGGCUAACUUUAAGGGAGCAGUGUGUCAUCAUAAAUUCUGGCAAAACAAAGUAAUUGAUUAGAGUGGUGGCUAAGCUCCUAGUGACUCCUUAUUACUGAAAAGUCUUACCCUGAUUAUCCUAGAGGCUUAGUAUAACUAUUGUCAAUUCUCAAUCAUAAAUACUAACAAAGGGAGAUGUGGGAAAUGAGGAUUGGUACGGAUAUUCCAAGGAAUUUUAUAUCAACUUUAGAAUGCUCUGUAUAUGGAGAACUUUCAAUUUGCCUUCAUAAUUAUGUUUUCUUUAGAAUAAUUUAAAAUCAGCUUUCAUUUCUUGAGUCAACAGAGAUAACUGCUAUUAUGUAGGAAACCUUGUCUGAAACAAAAAAUCAAUUGCCUAUAAUUACAGAUGGAUCAUGAAGAUUAAGCUGUUUAUAAGACUAAAUAUAUUUGUGUGCACAUGUGUCUGCCUGUGACUUUGACUUCUUGCCUUUUAAAGAACUUUUUUGACCAAAUGGAAAUCAGAAGUUAUAGUAACAUACUGCUGAAACAAAAGGUGAAUUCUACAAUGAAAGGAGGUCAGAGCCAUGUGUCAUGAUUUUGCAGGUAGUUAAAAAUGAACUGAGAAGUCACCAUCCGGUGGGAGGCAUCUUAGGGACGCAGCCACCUUCUGUUGGGCAUAAAUAGAAUGAAAGCUUGUUGAGCUAUUUAUUCUUAGAUGGUUAUGAUCAUGUGUUGCUCCUCCACUGAAAUGUGCCCAUUUUACUACCUCACUCUUUUAGAAUGGAUAUUUUUAGCUAACUCUGGGCUAAUCUAAUCAACUGAUUUGUGCUAACUGAAGUUUAGAAGAGAGCAUCCUCUCUCAAACCCUAAGUCUGUUUCACCCUGCCAGGUAAAAUAUGAACACCAGAUCCUUAACCCACUGAGAGAGACCAGGGAUCAAACCCACAUCCUCAUGGAUACUAGUUGGAUUCUAAAUCACUGAGCCACAAAGGGAACUCCC